RNAcentral lists this ribosomal RNA (303 nucleotides) under uncultured bacterium. RNAcentral describes it as "partial 16S ribosomal RNA". It matches the Rfam family "Bacterial small subunit ribosomal RNA", at positions 507 to 807 of the family's 1533-position model. The record is from RNAcentral.
AGCAGUCGCCGCGGGAAUACAGAGGGUGCAAGCGUUAAUCGGAAUUACUGGGCGUAAAGCGCGCGUAGGUGGUUUGUUAAGUUGGAUGUGAAAUCCCCGGGCUCAACCUGGGAACUGCAUCCAAAACUGGCAAGCUAGAGUAUGGUAGAGGGUGGUGGAAUUUCCUGUGUAGCGGUGAAAUGCGUAGAUAUAGGAAGGAACACCAGUGGCGAAGGCGACCACCUGGACUGAUACUGACACUGAGGUGCGAAAGCGUGGGGAGCAAACAGGAUUAGAUACCCCCGUAGUCCCUGUCUCUUAUAC